Molecule: ribosomal RNA, 606 nt
Filed under: Shigella sonnei
Lineage: Bacteria; Pseudomonadati; Pseudomonadota; Gammaproteobacteria; Enterobacterales; Enterobacteriaceae
Description: partial 23S ribosomal RNA
Rfam family: Bacterial large subunit ribosomal RNA
Source: RNAcentral
AGCCUGAAUCAGUGUGUGUGUUAGUGGAAGCGUCUGGAAAGGCGUGCGAUACAGGGUGACAGCCCCGUACACAAAAAUGCACAUAUUGUGAGCUUGAUGAGUAGGGCGGGACACGUGGUAUCCUGUCUGAAUAUGGGGGGACCAUCCUCCAAGGCUAAAUACUCCUGACUGACCGAUAGUGAACCAGUACCGUGAGGGAAAGGCGAAAAGAACCCCGGCGAGGGGAGUGAAAAAGAACCUGAAACCGUGUACGUACAAGCAGUGGGAGCACGCUUAGGCGUGUGACUGCGUACCUUUUGUAUAAUGGGUCAGCGACUUAUAUUCUGUAGCAAGGUUAACCGAAUAGGGGAGCCGAAGGGAAACCGAGUCUUAACUGGGCGUUAAGUUGCAGGGUAUAGACCCGAAACCCGGUGAUCUAGCCAUGGGCAGGUUGAAGGUUGGGUAACACUAACUGGAGGACCGAACCGACUAAUGUUGAAAAAUUAGCGGAUGACUUGUGGCUGGGGGUGAAAGGCCAAUCAAACCGGGAGAUAGCUGGUUCUCCCCGAAAGCUAUUUAGGUAGCGCCUCGUGAAUUCAUCUCCGGGGGUAGAGCACUGUUUCGGCA